RNAcentral lists this long non-coding RNA (286 nucleotides) under Nicotiana benthamiana. RNAcentral's name for it is "long non-coding RNA (NBEN_LNC001643)". Lineage: Eukaryota; Viridiplantae; Streptophyta; Magnoliopsida; Solanales; Solanaceae. The record is from RNAcentral.
AUAAUUAUACAUGGUCUGUAUGAGUUUUGGGUCUGUUUUGUUUAAUGCUACUAAUUUGUUAUUUCCCUUCAAAGGAUUGGUUUGCCCAAUAAGUUUUUCUGGGUUAUAGUCUGGUGAUUGUAUGUUCUUGUUUAGAUAGUUGGCAACUUGUAUGAAUUGGUUCAGGCAGUUGUUUAUUUUUUGCACGAAUUGAUUUUGUGUAGGUUUUUUGGUGAUUUUACUUUAAGUAUUUGUCUGGGGUUUUGGUAAUUGGUAAAUAAAAUCUGUUCUUUUAGGUAUGGGUUGC